GUGGGCAUAGCUCAGUCGGUAGAGCAUCUGAUUGUGGUUCAGAAGGUCGCGUGUUCGAAUCACGUUGCCCACC
RNAcentral lists this transfer RNA (73 nucleotides) under Aeriscardovia sp. Its description in RNAcentral is "tRNA-His". It matches the Rfam family "tRNA". Rfam says of the family: Transfer RNA (tRNA) molecules are approximately 80 nucleotides in length. The record is from RNAcentral. Lineage: Bacteria; Bacillati; Actinomycetota; Actinomycetes; Bifidobacteriales; Bifidobacteriaceae.